AGAGUUUGAUCAUGGCUCAGAACGUACGCUGGCGGCACGCCUAACACAUGCAAGUCGAACGCAGUAGUAAUACUGAGUGGCGAACGGGUGAGUAUAAUGUGGGUAUCUGCCUUUUGGUUUGGAAUAACGCGAGGAAACUUGUGCUAAUACCGUAUAAGCCUUUACAGGGAAAGCUUUAGCGCCGAAAGAUGAGCUCACACUUGAUUAGCUAGUUGGUAAGGUAAUAGCUUACCAAGGCUACGAUCAAUAGCUGAUCUGAGAGGAUGAUCAGCCACAUUGGGACUGAGACACGGCCCAGACUCCUACGGGAGGCAGCAGUGGGGAAUCUUGCACAAUGGGGGAAACCCUGAUGCAGCGAUGCCGCGUGAGUGAAGAAGGCCCUUGGGUUGUAAAGCUCUUUCGUCGGGGAAGAAAAUGACUGUACCCGAAUAAGAAGGUCCGGCUAACUUCGUGCCAGCAGCCGCGGUAAUACGAAGGGACCUAGCGUAGUUCGGAAUUACUGGGCUUAAAGAGCACGUAGGUGGUUAAGAAAGUUGGUGGUGAAAUCCCAAGGCUUAACCUUGGAACUGCCACCAAAACUUUUUAACUAGAGUGUGAUAGAGGUAAGCGGAAUUUCUAGUGUAGAGGUGAAAUUCGUAGAUAUUAGAAAGAACAUCAAUUGCGAAGGCAGCUUUCUGGAUCAUUACUGACACUGAGGUGCGAAAGCAUGGGUAGCGAAGAGGAUUAGAUACCCUCGUAGUCCAUGCCGUAAACGAUGUGUGCUAGACGUUGGGAAUUUAAUUCUCAGUGUCGCAGCAAAAGCGUUAAGCACACCGCCUGGGGAGUACGACCGCAAGGUUAAAACUCAAAUGAAUUGACGGGGACCCGCACAAGCAGUGGAGCAUGUGGUUUAAUUCGAAGAUACGCGCAGAACCUUACCAACUCUUGACAUGUUCGUCGCGACU
This 944-nucleotide ribosomal RNA is filed under the name marine metagenome. RNAcentral describes it as "bacterial SSU rRNA". It matches the Rfam family "Bacterial small subunit ribosomal RNA", at positions 8 to 1000 of the family's 1533-position model. The record is from RNAcentral.